Nylanderia fulva is the source of this 1066-nucleotide long non-coding RNA. RefSeq lists it as uncharacterized. NCBI's taxonomy places the organism in Eukaryota, Metazoa, Arthropoda, Insecta, Hymenoptera, Formicidae. The record is from RefSeq and is a predicted model, not a curated record.
CAGUCGUAUUCUGAUUGAGGCCACGGAUGUAUAGAUUUGUUUUGGACAGCUGCUCCGCCUGUUGACCCUGCAUAGCGUUGUUACUGAGACUCGUGCUCAUUGUCCCACUUUGGCUGCCAGUGGCACUACUAGAGCUGCUGUUAGUAUUCGCCGGAGAUGAAGCUGUAGGCACCCGCUGUCCACCAUACUGCAAACACAUCAUUAAUAGUCAAAUAUUUUAAGAGUCAAAGACAGAUUUUGUUCGCGGAAGCACCACUUGAAGAGCAAGCUCGGUUAGGGACACCCUGUGUAUACAACUGCUCUCUCUCGCUUCGCUGACGCAUCAUCGGCGAUGCGAUAAAACCAGACGGAUGAUUCGGCCAUGGUUAGCCAUUGACGAGUCGCCCCUGGGCGGAAUAGGAGAGACGAGCCGAGCGAACGCGUGCGAAACGCACGGCCGUGUCGUGGAUCCGGCCACAGAGAAGAGAGCGACCGACCGACCGGAUGUCACUUCCUGCUCACCACGUCUGCGCCGCCGCGCACACGUUGUGUUGCAACGCGAACCAACUCCGAGUGUUUGCCCUUUUAUUCUUUUUUUCUCGAACUCGCCGUUAAAUACCGCACGGUCGGAAUCAUCCGGUAUUUAACGGUAUUCAUCGUUGAUAUAUAUAUUAUUUUUUUCAGAAGCUCCGGCAAGAGGAAUUUAAACGAGUUUUCCUUUCUUCGGUUCUUGAAUUCUUCGCAAAUAUUGCUGCACAGCAGGAGAGGUGACAUCUCGCACAUUAAGGCUCCUCGCCGCAGGAGUGUUAAAUUGUGAUUUUAGUUAUUUAAAGAUUGUCGAUUGACUGUCGAGGGAAAAUAAGUUUUCGGAGGACAUCAAUUUAAAUUGUGACUUCAAAGGCGAGAAAAUACACGCUGAAAAUUUUACGAGCCAUCUUUAUUUAAAGAUGCUCGAGAAUAAAAGAAUAUUUUGACGAAACGCAACUUUAGAUGACUUUAGUAUCUUUCGAAAAUAUCUCGAAACAAUAUUUUCUCAAUGUUUCAAUUAUUUACAGAUUGUCGAUAGACUGUCGAGGGAAAAAAAAGU